Molecule: ribosomal RNA, 399 nt
Filed under: Phytophthora infestans (potato late blight agent)
Lineage: Eukaryota; Oomycota; Peronosporomycetes; Peronosporales; Peronosporaceae
Description: partial 18S ribosomal RNA
Source: RNAcentral
GAUGUGAAGUCUCUUGCGGUUGGUUUUCGGACCGACUGCGAGUCCUUUUAAAUGUACUAAACUGUACUUCUCUUUCCUCCAAAAGUGGUGGCAUUGCUGGUUGUGGACGCUGCUAUUGUAGCGAGUUGGCGACCGGUUUGUCUGCUGCGGCGUUAAUGGAGAAAUGCUCGAUUCGUGGUAUGGUUGGCUUCGGCUGAACAAUGCGCUUAUUGGGUGAUUUUCCUGCUGUGGCGUGAUGGACUGGUGAACCAUGGCUCUUUAGCUUGGCAUUUGAAUCGGCUUUGCUGUUGCGAAGUAGAGUGGCGGCUUCGGCUGCCGAGGGUCGAUCCAUUUGGGAAAUGUUGUGUACUUCGGUAUGCAUCUCAAUGGACCUGAUAUCAGGCAAGAUUCCACCCUUCC